AUCCCCAAUUUGACUCCCUAAUUAUUUAUCGUAUCCUUUUUAUUUAUCCUUUUUUCGUUAGCGGUUCAAAAGUACUUAUCUUUCUCAUUCACUACUCUUUAUACAAACGGAUCUGAGCGGAAAUGUAUCACAGAGCAAGGAAUCCCCAUUUGAAUGAUUCACGAUCGAUAUUUUUAUUCAUAUUGAAACUUACAAAGUUGUUCUUUUGGCAAAUUCUAGGACCUGGAUGAGGCUUUGUAAUACCCGUUCAAUUGACAUAGACCCACGUUCUCUAGUAAAAUGAAAAUGAGGAUGAGACAUCAGGAAUAGUCGGGAUAGCUCAGUUGGUAGAGCAGAGGACUGAAAAUCCUCGUGUC
Molecule: unclassified non-coding RNA, 356 nt
Filed under: Podanthus mitiqui
Lineage: Eukaryota; Viridiplantae; Streptophyta; Magnoliopsida; Asterales; Asteraceae
Description: partial contains tRNA-Leu and trnL-trnF intergenic spacer
Rfam family: tRNA (bases 309-356)
Source: RNAcentral